Molecule: RNA transcript, 1400 nt
Organism: Aedes aegypti (yellow fever mosquito)
Lineage: Eukaryota; Metazoa; Arthropoda; Insecta; Diptera; Culicidae
Exons: 4
Source: RefSeq, a predicted model, not a curated record
GGUGAAAGAUUUAGCGAUGCCUAUUUUUUUGUGAUAAACCUUUCCCAUAUACACGCCGUGUAUCAUGUAUGGGGUCUAUCCGUUUGGCAUACAGUCGUUUAUAAUGGGCAGUGCUUCGUAAGCAAGCUUGCUCUACACAGCAAAAAAUUAUGUAAUAUGGCUCGACGUAAUACCGUUGAUGUAAAAAAAUUCCGAUGUAAUCGUGUUUUCCAGAUACAUAAUCACACCGGUUCGAUGUUAAAUUACGUCCAUUUGAAAUUACACAGAAGUGGAAUUUAUUUUUUUCAUUAUGUUGGAUAUAUGUAAUAUUUACAUGAACGGAAUGUGAAUAUUACACGCAAACAGCUGCAACCAACUCGUUGCGGCUAAGUUGGGUAAAAUCACACAACAUCAAUUUAAGAUCGCAUUCUUUUGAAAUGCGAUAUUAAAUCUAGCAACACUGUUCUGAUUUUGUUGCGCACGCGUGCUCGGCCUCAAGCCGCCAUUUUCAGUUUACCGCAACCGAUGGAUGUUGUGUUUUGGAAAAUCAUUGACGGUGUUGAUACAUAUUGCAAUGAGUGAUGUUCCGAUGCCAAGGAACUUCAUUCGGAAUAUUUUUUCUGAAAAUCUUCAAUUCCAGCAUUCUUAAAUGACGGAACACAACUGUUGCUGUCCGAAAUCAGCCUAUCAGCGGCCUAAAGAACGCCGUCAAGAGUGAAUCCUUGAAAAUAUGGAGAAAGCUCGUCGGAUCGAGUGAAACCAAAGGAAUCGAGUGCGAAAAAAAGCGACCACCCAGCGCUCCACGCUAAAGAAUCGUUAUCGAUUCCUCCAAACUACAGGUCAACCGAAUGCGUUGGCAGCAUCUACGUCUUGCUUGCUCAGCGAUGGAUCAAAGAACGUAUUUCGGUAGCGGUUCGGUGUACCUGUCUCCUCAAGCUGUAACAAAUUUCCAACCGGAAGAAUCAACAAUAAAAGGGGAUGUUGCGCUGGAAGCUACAUCAUCCUCAUCUACAAAACUUCCGCCACAGCAACGUUUCGUCAACAGACAGCGUGGACCUCAACCUGGUAAAUAUAAACCAUUGGAUGAAGGCUACGAUUCCAUCGCACAUGGCAAAAAACGAACCAUUCCUGGCUGGUCCACCGAAGGCACACGGGUGACCAUGAUUUCGCUCUACAUGGGAUGUAGCGGAGACACCAGCUGCUCCGCUGUUUUGGAACGGCACGAAAAACAUAAACGAGCUCUACGAUUCAUUUCACUGUUGGCUGAAAGAAACUAAUCACUACCUGAAGUGCCUGCAGGCUUGAAUUUAAUCUCUGUCCACUGCGGGUUCUCGGACUAUCACCUGAAGCGCUCCAGUCGUUAUGCUGCAUCAUUUUAAAGUUUUUGAAGCAAUAAAAAUGAAAUAAAUAAUGUAAAUUUA